RNAcentral lists this transfer-messenger RNA (361 nucleotides) under Lactobacillaceae bacterium. It matches the Rfam family "transfer-messenger RNA". Rfam says of the family: Bacterial tmRNA, also known as 10Sa RNA or SsrA, is named for its dual tRNA and mRNA-like properties. Its role is to liberate the mRNA from a stalled ribosome. Lineage: Bacteria; Bacillati; Bacillota; Bacilli; Lactobacillales; Lactobacillaceae. The record is from RNAcentral.
GGGGUCGUUACGGAAUCGACUAGCAUUGUUUGAGCUAGUACUGCGCUUAGGGGUUGUGGCCCUAUAAUCCACUCAGACGAAUUUAACUGCAAAAAAUUCAAACAAUAUGGCGGUUGCUGCCUAAACACCAGCACGCCUAAUUAAGUUUAGUUAUGAUUGCUAAUUGAACUUAAUCAUCAAACUGUAAUCUGCGGGUAACCCUCCCAUCUGAAGUGGUUGCCAAGAGGAUAAUCAGAUUAGCCGAAGUGAUCGCCGUGUUGAUUGGCGUGCAUGAAGCGAAAUUUAAAUUAAUCGACUAUGAGCGAAGAUGUGUUAGUGCCAAGAUGGUAGGACAGGGGUUCAACUCCCCUCGGCUCCAUAA